AUUGAACGCUGGCGGCAUGCCUUACACAUGCAAGUCGAACGGCAGCACGGGAGCAAUCCUGGUGGCGAGUGGCGAACGGGUGAGUAAUGUAUCGGAACGUACCUUUCAGUGGGGGAUAACGUAGCGAAAGUUACGCUAAUACCGCAUAUUCUGUGAGCAGGAAAGCAGGGGAUCGCAAGACCUUGCGCUGAUUGAGCGGCCGAUAUCAGAUUAGCUAGUUGGUGAGAUAAAGGCUCACCAAGGCGACGAUCUGUAGCGGGUCUGAGAGGAUGAUCCGCCACACUGGAACUGAGACACGGUCCAGACUCCUACGGGAGGCAGCAGCGGGGAAUUUUGGACAAUGGGCGCAAGCCUGAUCCAGCCAUGCCGCGUGAGUGAAGAAGGCCU
RNAcentral lists this ribosomal RNA (387 nucleotides) under uncultured bacterium. RNAcentral describes it as "bacterial SSU rRNA". It matches the Rfam family "Bacterial small subunit ribosomal RNA", at positions 30 to 417 of the family's 1533-position model. The record is from RNAcentral.